GGUUCGCUGCACGGCGCGUCAGGCAGCCAAUGUCCCUGGGGCCAAUAACAUCCUCUUGGGGGCUGUCCCUGCCGGGACCGUGGUUCCGGCACAUGGCCACCCACCUGCUGACGCAGGCCACAAGAGGACUUGCAACGCCAACGGCCGAGGCGGCGCCGCU
RNAcentral lists this non-coding RNA (160 nucleotides) under Magnetospirillum sp. RNAcentral's name for it is "6S RNA". It matches the Rfam family "6S / SsrS RNA". Rfam says of the family: E. coli 6S RNA was the first non coding RNA to be sequenced, but its function was unknown until recently. It consists of 184 nucleotides that fold into an extended hairpin structure with a large single-stranded internal bulge. Lineage: Bacteria; Pseudomonadati; Pseudomonadota; Alphaproteobacteria; Rhodospirillales; Rhodospirillaceae. The record is from RNAcentral.